CCAGGUCCACUGUUGGAAACACUUCUGAAAGAGGCAGCUCUGGAAGCUGGUCACCUGAAGACAGUGAGAAAACGGAUGUGAGAAAGGAAGGACCUGAUCAUCCAUCAGACAGAAUCCAGACAUGACAAUUAGAGUUAAUGAACCACAACCCAUGAAGCUGCCUCAGCACCUUUUUACAACCCCACUUCAUGGCCUUAAUAAAAGUACCAGGGUUUAUUUUACAGAGCACAUCUGCUCUAAAUUCUCAAAGGAGAAACUUUGCAUUCAGAAGUUAUGUUUGGUUUCUUCACCACUUUUCAGUGAUGCAUAAAGAAUAUUUAACAGCUGUGUAUUUACUUUUCUAUCUGUUCAGUCAACACAACAUCGGAAGAUAAUGCUUUUUUGUAUAAUAAGACUGCAUUGUUAUAAUAAUUAUUUAGCUUACAUUAACACAGUAAGCUGCUGAGGAUGACUGAAAAGUACCAGGCAAAUAUUUUUUUUUUAUUUCUCCAGUCUAAUGGCAUCUAUAUGCAAGUAUUGCCUUUGAUUUCAGAUAUUUAGAAAUAGUGUGCUUUACAAAAAUCAGGUUGAUUUGCUGCUUUUCAAAUAUGCCUCACUCAGCCUUGGUACUGAAGUCUUCAAUUUCUUCACAGAGCAGACAAAGGAUUUCUGCAGUUAUCCAGUUUUUGGAUCCUACCCAUUUCCUUAGGUCUCAACUACCAGUUCCAUACCCAUACUGCUUCUUCUGUCCAGAAGCAAAAAGAAGCCAAGUGGAAGGAUAAAUUAGCUCAUAGAUUAAUUGUUAGAAGACUCCCUUUUGCAUAGUAGGAGAUGACUGGAAGAGCUCUGGGAUGGACUAUAAGGUAUAAUAUAUAAAGGGAAGAAGUCAUUUUGUUCCUCGCCACAGUAACAUGAGUAAAAAUAUGACAAAAUUGACCCUGUUGUAUCACAAAGCUUCAGAUGGCAGUUAUUGAGAAGCCUAAUUACGAUGCAUUGCUUUCAGAUUGUCAGUAUUUUUCAGGAAAGUAAAGAGAAUACCUUCUUUUGAUAUUAACCAUUAAUUUAAAAAUUAAUCAAUCUGCAUAUUAAUCCACAACUGAAUCAAUCCUAGAGUCAUUUGCCAGAAGGAUAGUAUAUUUUGUCAUGACGUUAUUGGUCAGCCAAGUCUGAUAUGUAUACAGUGCUAGCACAAAAAUUAUUUUCCCAAAACAAAUCAAUUCCCCAUGAAAAUUGAUAUCUAAAUUACCAUUGCUUUUUGGUAAUGGUAGACAAUUCCAGGAACACUUGUCCAGUUUGGCCUUGUCAAAGCCUCCUACAGUAAAAUAUAUAAUUCUUCUCUUUUUAUAAUAAGCAGAAAACAUCAACACGUUUAGGAGACAUUCUGCUUUGUUUGCAGGAACUCAGUGGGACCCUGUGCCUCAUACAGACUUUACCACUGAGUUCCUGCAGCUUGGUUCAGAAACCUGCAAAAGCAAGAUAGUAAGUGCAGAGCAAGAGCUCGGGAGUGGUGUCUCAUGGCCAGCUGCAUUCCAAUUCCCUCUUCUUAGUGAGUUAAAAAGCGAUUGGUCACAUCCUGGUUGUGGGGAAGAAAAAGACCCUCAGCAGCCAGUACCUGUUUAACUCUGAACUGGAAGAAAACCACCAUUCAGAAGAGUCCAGUUUGGUCUUGCACAUGGAAAUGUCUGUGGUGCAGGACUUCACUGGGAGCCGUUGCCUUUCAAGGGAAGUGGCUCACAGAGCUUUGUAUUAUAAUUUUUUUCUGUACUUUAAAUAACAGAUUAAAUAAUAAACCACUUAAUCUUAUUCUUGCCAAAUUUUCUCAACUAAAAUUAAAAAAAAAAGUCUUACAUUGUUUUAAAUGGCUUGGUAAUAAAAAUCCCUGAAACUAUUACUCUUAGUGUACAUACUAUUAAUAAGAUAAGUUUAGGUUUAUCUUCUUUCCUUGUUCAUUUGGUUUUUGUUUUAACCUUCCUAGAGCUCAUUAAAUGUAUUGAAAUCACAGUCAAACUAGUGAAAAAAUAAUAUGUGAAGCUGAAAAACUAGCAAAAUUUAAAAAUUAUUGAAAUAAUGUUUGCUACAAAUACCUUCUGCCUUGCUUAAACAUCAAAUUAUUUUUGCAAAUUUGUGUUCAGAGAACAUAUUCAACAUAGUGAAUAAACCACCCACAGACCAGUUGAAUGAUGUUUUAAACGCCCACUACUUUAAUAAUUUCCUUCAAGCCAAUUCUACUUCAGUAACUAAAGAACACAUAACAGAAGAAAUAAUUGGUUUUAACUUCAAGUGUCAUAUAAAAACAUUUAAUGGAAGAUCUCUAUGAUGUAAACAAAUCUUUCUAUGAGAAAAUGCUCUACUAGAAAUUUGUGGUUUCAUGAGCUGUUUACAAGUCAUUCUAUUGUAACACUUUUUAUUUAAAAGUAACAGUAAAUUGUAUUUCGUCAUAAACUUUAUUUCUUUGGGUUUUAAUUAAUUUAAUUAUUUUUUAAAUUAUUGUUUUGAUGACAUUUAAUAUACAAAGCAGUCAUUUUGAUUGAAAAGAAAACAUUGUUCCUCAUCCAAUAUUCUCAUCCAAAAUAACUCAUGUUUAUAGGGAGACACAGCAAGGAAAACAAAUAUUAGGUGUUGACUCAAAGAUAUGAGAGCACUUAACUCAGAACUGUGGCUUGGAAGAGCCAGAUCAUGCAUGAACAUUCAAUCCUCCUUGGCAGUUACAGUCCAAGUUUUUGUAUACAUUCUAACCAAAACUAAAGUGAACUCUCCAGUUUCUUAAUUAAUAGAAGAUAUACAGAACCAACCUCCCAGCACAGUACGUAUAUUGAAAAAUGUCAUGUGUAUUAAUUAAAUUACAGUAUUAAAAAAAA
Molecule: long non-coding RNA, 2837 nt
Organism: Neopelma chrysocephalum (saffron-crested tyrant-manakin)
Lineage: Eukaryota; Metazoa; Chordata; Aves; Passeriformes; Pipridae
Exons: 2
Source: RefSeq, a predicted model, not a curated record